CCUACGGGGGGCUGCAGUGGGGAAUAUUGGACAAUGGGGGGAACCCUGAUCCAGCCAUGCCGCGUGUGUGAAGAAGGCCCUCGGGUUGUAAAGCACUCUCAGUGAGGAAGAACGCCUGGUGGUUAAUACCCAUCAGGAAAGACAUCACUCACAGAAGAAGCACCGGCUAACUCCGUGCCAGCAGCCGCGGUAAUACGGAGGGUGCGAGCGUUAAUCGGAAUUACUGGGCGUAAAGCGCGCGUAGGUGGCUUGAUAAGCCGGUUGUGAAAGCCCCGGGCUCAACCUGGGAACGGCAUCCGGAACUGUCAAGCUAGAGUGCAGGAGAGGAAGGUAGAAUUCCCGGUGUAGCGGUGAAAUGCGUAGAGAUCGGGAGGAAUACCAGUGGCGAAGGCGGCCUUCUGGACUGACACUGACACUGAGGUGCGAAAGCGUGGGUAGCAAACAGGAUUAGAUACCCUAGUAGUC
This 465-nucleotide ribosomal RNA is filed under the name Vreelandella stevensii. Its description in RNAcentral is "partial 16S ribosomal RNA". It matches the Rfam family "Bacterial small subunit ribosomal RNA", at positions 338 to 795 of the family's 1533-position model. Lineage: Bacteria; Pseudomonadati; Pseudomonadota; Gammaproteobacteria; Oceanospirillales; Halomonadaceae. The record is from RNAcentral.